CCUACGGGCGGCAGCAGUGGGGAAUAUUGCACAAUGGGGGAAACCCUGAUGCAGCGACGCCGCGUGAGCGAAGAAGUAUUUCGGUAUGUAAAGCUCUAUCAGCAGGGAAGAAGAAUGACGGUACCUGACUAAGAAGCUCCGGCUAAAUACGUGCCAGCAGCCGCGGUAAUACGUAUGGAGCAAGCGUUAUCCGGAUUUACUGGGUGUAAAGGGAGCGUAGGCGGUGCUAUAAGUCUGAUGUGAAAGCCCGGGGCUCAACCGCGGGACUGCAUUGGAAACUGUAGGACUGGAGUGUCGGAGGGGUAAGUGGAAUUCCUAGUGUAGCGGUGAAAUGCGUAGAUAUUAGGAGGAACACCGGUGGCGAAGGCGGCUUACUGGACGACAACUGACGCUGAGGCUCGAAAGCGUGGGGAGCAAACAGGAUUAGAUACCCCUGUAGUC
RNAcentral lists this ribosomal RNA (441 nucleotides) under uncultured bacterium. RNAcentral describes it as "bacterial SSU rRNA". It matches the Rfam family "Bacterial small subunit ribosomal RNA", at positions 338 to 795 of the family's 1533-position model. The record is from RNAcentral.